This 1029-nucleotide small RNA is filed under the name Arabidopsis thaliana (thale cress). RNAcentral's name for it is "ATSL087920". Lineage: Eukaryota; Viridiplantae; Streptophyta; Magnoliopsida; Brassicales; Brassicaceae. The record is from RNAcentral.
AUGAGCGUGUAGUAGAGCUGCAAUGUGAGAUACGCGAGAAGUGUGAGGCAUUAACGCAAGAUCCCGAAAUGGGCUUGAUUUUGGGCGAAGCUUUACAUGCGGAAAGCGACAAUGUCCCUUUUUUGCAGUCCAUUGCUGAUGAUUUAACCCAAAACGGAGUAUCCGGGGAAGCCUUUCAAGAAGCUCUGAAUAUAGUGGGACAGGCGGCGGCCUCCCCACUGGACCAAUUUGAGAUUGUCCCAUUGAUUCCUAUGCAUAUCGGAAACUUCUAUUUCUCAUUCACAAAUCCAUCUUUGUUCAUGCUGCUAACUCUGAGUUUUUUCCUACUUCUGAUUCAUUUUGUUACUAAAAAGGGAGGAGGAAACUUAGUCCCAAAUGCUUGGCAAUCCUUGGUAGAGCUUCUUUAUGAUUUCGUGCUGAACCUGGUAAAGGAACAAAUAGGUGGUCUUUCCGGGAAUGUGAAAUAAAUGUUUUUCCCUUGCAUCUUGGUCACUUUUCUUUUUUUGUUAUUUUGUAAUCUUCAGGGUAUGAUACCUUAUAGCUUCACAGUGACAAGUCAUUUUCUCAUUACUUUGGCUCUCUCAUUUUCGAUUUUUAUUGGCAUUACUAUAGUGGGAUUUCAAAGACAUGGGCUUCAUUUUUUCAGCUUUUUAUUACCCGCAGGAGUCCCACUGCCGUUAGCACCUUUUUUAGUACUCCUUGAGCUAAUUUCUUAUUGUUUUCGCGCAUUAAGCUUAGGAAUACGUUUAUUUGCUAAUAUGAUGGCCGGUCAUAGUUUAGUAAAGAUUUUAAGUGGGUUCGCUUGGACUAUGCUAUGUAUGAAUGAUAUUUUCUAUUUUAUAGGGGCUCUUGGUCCUUUAUUUAUAGUUCUUGCAUUAACCGGUCUGGAAUUAGGUGUAGCUAUAUUACAAGCUUAUGUUUUUACGAUCUUAAUCUGUAUUUACUUGAAUGAUGCUAUAAAUCUCCAUUAAAGUUCUUCUUUCUUUUAUUUAUAUUUAUAAUUGAACAAAAGCGAGGGAUGGAUGUCUG